Molecule: ribosomal RNA, 437 nt
Filed under: uncultured bacterium
Lineage: Bacteria
Description: partial 16S ribosomal RNA
Rfam family: Bacterial small subunit ribosomal RNA
Source: RNAcentral
AGCGAACGCUGGCGGCAUGCUUAACACAUGCAAGUCGCGCGGGUGGUUUCGGCCAUCAGCGGCGGACGGGUGAGUAUCGCGUAGGAAUGUAUCCCGAGGUGGGGGACAACCCUGGGAAACUGGGGCUAAUACCGCAUGGGGCCUGUGGGUCAAAGCCUUAGGGCGCCUUGGGAGCAGCCUGCGUCCGAUUAGGUAGUUGGUGGGGUAAAGGCCUACCAAGCCUGCGAUCGGUAGCUGGUCUGAGAGGACGAUCAGCCACACUGGGACUGAGACACGGCCCAGACUCCUGCGGGAGGCAGCAGUGGGGAAUAUUGGACAAUGGGCGCAAGCCUGAUCCAGCAAUGCCGCGUGGGUGAAGAAGGUCUUCGGAUUGUAAAGCCCGUUCGGCGGGGACGAUGAUGACGGUACCCUCAGAAGAAGCCCCGGCUAACUUCGUG